ACUGAGCUGUUCCCUGCGCUAAGGUGCUCUUUUGGGCCUAAAUAUAAUUAGAUCCUUCGCCGUUGUUUUGAGGUAAAUCUAAACGAAAAGGAACACCUGUUAACAGGUAGUGAUGCCGCAGGAAAGUGCUGGGAAGGGAAUGCUGGGAAGGGAAGGGCGUGGUCCCUUUAAAUGAUAAGGAAGGGGGGCGGGAAGUGCUGGGUAGAGGAGGGCGUGGUCCCCAGCUAGGGCUUCAUCCCUGGGCCUGGGCCUACCUAGGUGAAGACAGGCAUUUUUGUUUUCCUGCCCGGAUGUUGCAUUUCCCAAGACCACCCUGGCCUGCCAUGCCCUCAUCCUGUGCCUUUAAAAACCCCCGAGACCCUGGCAGGCAGACGCACAAGCAGCUGGACAUUGAGAGGAGCAUAUAGGCAGAGAAUACAGGGGCUGCUGGAUGUCGAAAGGAACGCACCAGCAUAGGAGCACACCGGCAUGCUGGCAGGCCAUUGACCAGCGGAAGAAUGCAGAGUUUGUCGCGGGAGGUCAGAGAAGAGUCAGGCCGCCAUACCUGACUCCAGGAGAAAACCGUCUCCCUUCUGGUUCCCCCGUCUGCCGAGAGCUACUUCCACUCAAUAAAACUUUCCACUCAUUCUUCAAGCCCACGUGUGAUCCAAUUCUUCCCGUACACCAAGGUCUCGCUGUGUUUCCCAGGCUGGGUGCAGUGGCUAUUCAAAGGUACAAUGAUAGCUCACUGCAGCCUGGAACUCCUGGACUCAAGCGAUCCUCCUGCCUCAGCUGCGACUAACAGUGCUGGUAAUGAUGUAUACCUGGCAGCUGACCGUCAAAUCUUAUGAAGGAUUAAAACAUAAAGUUUGCAUUAAAGGUCAAAACAGUCACAAGCCUGCUCAAAUUCGGAAAGAGGGGACGGAAAUGGAACCUCUUCAUGGGAGGAAGAAUUGGAAAAAUGAAUGUAAUUUGACAUAUGUCUUGAGUCUGGUUGGCUUCUGAGGAACUUGUGUGCAUCUCAUCAGUAUGCAUCUUAAGAACUGAAAUGACCCUACUUCAGCAUUGUGAGAAGACAUGCAUUCUCUUCGUAUAAAUAAUGUGGAUCUUACAUGUGAAAUUACAUAAAGAUAAAAGGGGAUGCACUGAACCUGAUGGUACUUUCCUGUACAAUUGAGAAAAGGUGAAAUAAGCAGAAGACCAAGGGAUGCAUUGGGAGGAGGAGAACCAGGAGGAGGACCACGUAAUGGAAGCCAAGUGAAGACAGUGUUUCCCAGUGCUGGCAAGGAGCAGGCUCCAUGCAUGCAUUUGGGCUCUGUGGAAAAUCUAGCCAGGGAUGCGGGCCUUUCUGAACGCCGCUUUCAUUGUGCCCCCUGCAGCAUUAUCUCUUCGAUGCGAUGUCCCUGCUGACUGAAAUGCAGAGAAGCUACUAAGAUCCACACACCAGUUGCUGCAAUCGGUGCCCUGCUCUUUGUCCCCCAUUCACCCCAGGUGAUUCAGCUCUUCUGGCACUCCCAGUGAUUCCUGUGGGACAGGCCCAGAGUGGACUUCCCACGAAGAUUCCCAGACUGGGGGAGAGCUCUAAGAUCCACUUCCAAUUCCUUUGUCUCACCUAGGAGACUCUGGGUUUAUGGAAGUUCUCUCUGAUUAGUGCUGUUGCAGCUGGGUUUGGGGGUCAUGUAGUCUAAAUGAUUGUUUCUCUUACUGGUGGUGAUUUUUCCAGUUUCUGUGGGCCCAGUGGAUUUCUCUGCUUCUCCUUAGAGUUCUGGUGAACUCAGAAUGUUAGUGUUAUUCUUUUCUUUGAAAAUAGUUUCCAUUUGUAAUUUGCUUGGAGAGUGAUUCUGGGGGAUUCUAUUCUGCCAUCUUGCUGCUGUCACUCUUUAAUAAGAUUUGUAACUAAUUCUCAAAUUGUUCAUAGUCUUAAAACUACAUAGAGUUGAUUUCAUACAUUUUAUUAUGAGAACAAUAAAAGUAUUUUGUGUCUUUGCUAGUGAGAUUUUUAGUUAUACAGAAAUUACAGUGUUUCCUGCUAUGUUCAAUCAUUCCAAGAUUCAUUAUACAUAUGUUAAAUAUGUUAUACAUUUGUUUACAUAAUGCAUAUUUUAUUUUUUUUCUGAGAUACCCAAAGCAUAAUCUCCCUCACUAUCCUGAAUAAUUAUAAAUUAGUAUUUCAUAUAUGAUAGAAAAUUUGUGACAUCCACUAUUUUUAAGAACGGCUAGGCUGGGCGUGGUGGCUCAUUCCUGUAAUCCCAGCACUUUGAGAGGCUGAGGUGGGCGGAUCACGUGAGUUCGGGAGUUCGAGACCAGCCUGACCAGCAUGGAGAAACCCCAUCUCUACUAAAAAUACAAAAUUAGCCGGGCGUGGUGGCACAUGCCUGUAUUCCCAGCUACUCGGGAGGCUGAAGCAGGAGAAUUGCUUGAACCCGGGAGGUGGAGGUUGCAGUGAGCCGACAUCAUGCCAUUGCACUCCAGCCUGGGCAGCAAGAGUGAAACUCUGUCUCGAAAAAAAAAAAAAAAAAAAAAGAAGAAUGGCUAAUUUCAGAACAUGUUUAUAUGUAUGUUGUAUUCAAUGUCUUUAAUUAAAGUCUGUUUCUUUAUCCUAAUUUGUG
RNAcentral lists this long non-coding RNA (2588 nucleotides) under Homo sapiens (human). RNAcentral describes it as "non-protein coding lnc-NEIL3-6:4". The record is from RNAcentral. Lineage: Eukaryota; Metazoa; Chordata; Mammalia; Primates; Hominidae.